UGGGGAAUAUUGCACAAUGGGGGGAACCCUGAUGCAGCAACGCCGCGUGAAGGAGGAAGUAUUUCGGUAUGUAAACUUCUAUCGACAGGGACGAAGAGAAUGACGGUACCUGAAUAAGAAGCCCCGGCUAAUUACGUGCCAGCAGCCGCGGUAAUACGUAAGGGGCGAGCGUUAUCCGGAAUUACUGGGUGUAAAGGGUGAGUAGGCGGCACAGCAAGUCAUAUGUGAAAGCCCGGGGCUUAACUCCGGAGCUGCAUAAGAAACUGUAGUGCUAGAGUGCAGGAGAGGCAAGCGGAAUUCUUGGUGUAGCGGUGAAAUGCGUAGAUAUCAGGAAGAACACCGGUGGCGAAGGCGGCUUGCUGGACUGGAACUGACGCUGAGUCACGAAAGCGUGGGGAGCGAACAGG
Molecule: ribosomal RNA, 407 nt
Filed under: uncultured bacterium
Lineage: Bacteria
Description: bacterial SSU rRNA
Rfam family: Bacterial small subunit ribosomal RNA
Source: RNAcentral